RNAcentral lists this unclassified non-coding RNA (219 nucleotides) under Hevea brasiliensis (rubber tree). Lineage: Eukaryota; Viridiplantae; Streptophyta; Magnoliopsida; Malpighiales; Euphorbiaceae. The record is from RNAcentral.
CUUCUUCCUAAUCACAGCCUCCGUCAUCUCUGUGUGUAUCGCUGUGCCUGUGAAUUAGUUUCAAAUUUGAUGGGUCUCCACGAACAAGGUGAAAUGAAGAAGCAGAAAGACGAUGGAAAUAACUCAAAUCCGGUGGUGCUGAAUGUAGCGUAUCGUGUGCUUGGUUGAGGUUCCGUUGAGGCACGUGUUUGUCAAAUCUGCGAUGGUGGUUUGGCCAAU